CAAAAGGCGGCCGCGGUGUUCAGGUGGCCCGUAUGCAUGUUCCAGAUCCCACGGAGAUGUAGGCAGGCAGUCCGACAGCUUGGACCGGCCCCGGGCCUCUGGCCUCCCUCUUCUGCUCCCGUGGCUUCCCCGGUGCACAGCUUGCGGUUUACUUGGACCUCUGCCUCAUCUUUCUUCUUUUGCGCUUCAGCCUGAAAAGCAGACACUUAAGAAUACACGCCUUGCCCUCAAGCCCAUAACAAGCCCCCCUCCCCCAUCUUAAUGUACACACAACACAGGGUAGUGGCAACAUGAAGCACUACAUUCUCUAGUCUUAGUGCUCAAAGCGUUUUUCACCUGAAAUCCUUUUAGAUUCUAAACCAAACGUCCCUCCCAAGUUUUGUUUACGGCAUGCACCACCUCACCUCCCUCCUCCAGGGCCUGCAAAGUCUCAACAUACCUGCGCAUUCGCUUCUUCCUCCACUGGCCACCGAUUAUAACCAGAGGCAAGGAAUAAAGAAAAAUGUCGUUAGUUUUUGACAGGUUUAGAUAGGGGUGUGGAGAGCAUUCUUUGGAAGUCAGGCACGUUCUCGACCUAACAUGAGGGCUUAAUCGCAGUAAUCACGUCAGUAAUUUGGCCUCCUAACCCCCACACCUGAAGUCAACUCCUAACUCCACACGCGCUCUUUCCUCACAGCAGUUACCCGACCCCCCCCCCCCCUAUGCUUCUCCCCGAACCAUCCUUCCUCUCCCACCUCUCAGACACCCGGGAGAACCGGCGGCUCGGGAGCCAUGGCGAACUUUCCUUGCCGGGUCCCCCCCCGCCCCCAUCAUCAAGUCCCACAGCCUCAGCUUACCCCCAGGGAGUGCUUACCUUGGCUCUCAUGGCGCAGAGGUUUCUACGGGCAAAGAGAAAAAGGUUACAGUUAGUUGGCUGUAACGAUGGUAAUGGAUUGUACGCGGAACCACACAGAGAAAACAGAAACACCCACCUAGGAAGAUGGCGCUAAGGCCGAGAGAGCGAGCAAGGCCCGCCUCCGCUAUUUAAGGGCGCGCUCGCUGUCGUCACUUCCGCUGCUCAGCCCGCCUUCCGGGGGCGUAACAAUGGCUUCCGGCCCCUUUCAGAUACCUCGUUAGGGAUGCUGUCCUCUUGGAAAACGGGGUGUUUUGAAUUUGAGUUACAAAACUGCCCGCCCCGUUUCGUUGUUGAGGACGUCGUUAUUUAAACGUGAGCACCCGUUUCCAGAACGAGGCCUCGAGGUGCUGGCGAGCAAGACAGCGACUUCCUCCUCUCUCGUUGCUUCAUGGGAGUUGCAGUUUCCUGGUGACACCCUCCAUUUUAUUAUAAAUAGGGUGAGAUAUCAAACCUGUAACCAAGGCAACAGCUUUUGACCAGAAAUCCAACCCGGCCACACACUUCCGGUGUGCAGGCAGGUGCUCUAACCACUGAGCACACUGGUCGAGGCUUGCAAGGUUUAUUGCCGACCCAAUAUAAUCCCUUUCUUGAUGGUUUCCCUUUGUAACUUAUGCAUUAACAUAUCACCCUUUUAGCUCUAUCAAAACAAGGUUUUUAAAACUUGGGGCCCUUGUUCUAAGUGCUUAAGUAGUUCUAGUAUUUUCAUUAUCACAAUUGUUUUUGAAAACAAAAAAUUCCAUCAGAAUUGCUUCAUUAUCAAAUACCAAAUCCACCAGGCUUUCACCUGUUGACUGCCUAGCCUACAGGCUCUUAUGAAGAGCUCCAUGUUUUGUUCACUCUGUUGGACAGCAUACCUGACAUGUAAGAUACUCAAAUCUAAUUAUUCAUUUAGGCUGGCCCUGACAACUUGUAUAACACUAAAGGCAUUUUUCCUGGCUUCCUAAAUCAAAACAAACACCUGUAUAGUGUUUUUAUUUUUUUUCAGUACACAUUAAAUGUGCUAGUCCUGAACAGUGUCAGCAGCAAGGUUGAUGGUUUUAUUUUUUAAAA
This is a long non-coding RNA of Pipistrellus kuhlii (Kuhl's pipistrelle), 1945 nucleotides long. RefSeq lists it as uncharacterized. The transcript has 3 exons. The record is from RefSeq and is a predicted model, not a curated record. NCBI's taxonomy places the organism in Eukaryota, Metazoa, Chordata, Mammalia, Chiroptera, Vespertilionidae.